Cydia pomonella (codling moth) is the source of this 731-nucleotide long non-coding RNA. RefSeq lists it as uncharacterized. The transcript is spliced from 2 exons. The record is from RefSeq and is a predicted model, not a curated record. NCBI's taxonomy places the organism in Eukaryota, Metazoa, Arthropoda, Insecta, Lepidoptera, Tortricidae.
CAGGUAUAGUGGGACAGAGACAGCUGAUGUCGACUCCUACAACGACUAUAACCUACCUUACCCGACCAACGAGAUGCGCAAGCUGUGCUGCGAGAUCAUCGAGAUGGUGGAUACCUACCACAGCUAUAACAGGCCCUUCAGGAGUUCAAGGUGAGACAGGUAUGGUGGGACAGAGACAGCUGAUGUAAGUGCGUAGGUACGCACUAUAAGUUGGCAUGUGCGUAGGACAAAGCGCGGUUAUCGUAUAAACCAUUUAUUGGUUUGCUACAAUGCAUAUCUACAAAAAACGAGAGCAACACAAAAAAUAAUAACAUUAAUAACAAUAAUAAAAAGUAGGCAGAAUAGUGUACAUGGAAAGGGUUCAGGCUUAUAAAUUGACAUUAAUGUAGUUUGUACUGUAAUUUUUUUUUUUUUUUGGAUAAACAUUACAAAAUAAUUUAAUCACUCAAUACCAGUUAAUUAUUAUUACAAAUCAUCCACAGCGCAGGCUUCGUCAAAAACAUAGUUACAAAACAGAAUCCGCAACAAACUUCGUCCAAUCUACAUAAGUGAAAAUCCGCCACAGGCUUCGUCAUUAAUGUAGGUACAACAUAAAAUCCGCAACAAGCUUUGUCCAAAAACCUAAAACUACCUACGAUUCCCCGUUAAUCCCCGAGACGACACGUACCCGGCGCAAAAGUUCCAAAAAUACUGGCCGCAUUACCGCGCUGUACUGCCAAUGAUAUUUGCUG